GGGCCUGUAGCUCAGUCUGGUUAGAGCACGAGGCUUUUAACCUCGGUGUCGCGGGUUCAAAUCCUGUCAGGCCCG
This 75-nucleotide transfer RNA is filed under the name Candidatus Woesearchaeota archaeon. RNAcentral describes it as "tRNA-Lys". It matches the Rfam family "tRNA". From Rfam's summary of the family: Transfer RNA (tRNA) molecules are approximately 80 nucleotides in length. Their secondary structure includes four short double-helical elements and three loops (D, anti-codon, and T loops). RNAcentral also lists the same sequence under 2 other names. Lineage: Archaea; Nanobdellati; Candidatus Woesearchaeota. The record is from RNAcentral.